RNAcentral lists this ribosomal RNA (513 nucleotides) under uncultured bacterium. Its description in RNAcentral is "partial 16S ribosomal RNA". It matches the Rfam family "Bacterial small subunit ribosomal RNA", at positions 28 to 523 of the family's 1533-position model. The record is from RNAcentral.
GACGAACGCUGGCGGCAUGCCCAAUACAUGCAAGUCGAGCGAACAGAUGAAGUGCUUGCACUUCUGACGUUAGCGGCGAACGGGUGAGUAACACGUAAGGAAUCUACCUAUAAGCGGGGGAUAACAUUCGGAAACGGGUGCUAAUACCGCAUAAUAUCUUCUUCCGCAUGGAAGAAGAUUGAAAGACGGCUCUGCUGUCACUUAUAGAUGACCUUGCGGUGCAUUAGUUAGUUGGUGGGGUAACGGCCUACCAAGACGAUGAUGCAUAGCCGACCUGAGAGGGUGAUCGGCCACAUUGGAACUGAGACACGGCCCAAACUCCUACGGGAGGCAGCAGUAGGGAAUCUUCCGCAAUGGGCGAAAGCCUGACGGAGCAAUGCCGCGUGAGUGAAGAAGGCCUUCGGGUCGUAAAACUCUGUUAUAAGAGAAGAACAAAUUGUAGAGUAACUGCUACAGUCUUGACGGUAUCUUAUCAGAAAGCCACGGCUAACUACGUGCCAGCAGCCGCCGUAA